GGCAGCGCAGGCAGGGGCACCAGGGCCCAGCUCCCUCUGUCUCCAAGAUGAACACCCACCCACAGUGAAGAGCUGGGGGUCACAAGCGGUAGCCCAAGCCUCGCCCCCUUCUCUGGGGCCAUUUCAAGAGCACUGGAGCCAUUCUGAGGGCAUUCACUGGACAAAAGUUGUCUGCCGAGUUGUAUUAGACUGGUAGUAAGGGCCAAAAGGCCGGGAAGAGGGGUCAACUGGUCUCAGCAGAAGUGAGAACAAGCAAGGAAAGCGCUUCGCCGCUGGAGAACUUCAUCCGGGACUCUGCCACUGAUUUUAGCCUGGGGAGACCUGGCGAGAACGUCUAACCACAGAGCUUUCAGGUCAGAAAAUGGACUUGUGUAUUGUCCCAGGGCCUGGACAGAAUAAGAUGAUCAGGAAAAUCAAGACGAACAUUCCAACCGCCCUAAUUCUCAUCCCGCUUUUCACCAUACCCCUCUGCUCUUCUGCAAUGGUGGCGCUGGUGGUGCUGAGCGUAGAGGGCAGCGGGCUGCGGCGAUGCGUGCGUGCGCCUUUGUUCAGAAUGUACCUUUGUUGGAAAAGAUUGCCAACCCCUGGUAUAGAAGAAAGCAGAGCUACAUGGAUGGAAAGAGCCUAAGAGGAGGAGAACCUCCCUUCCACCGCAUCCCACCCCAUGCCAUCCGGAUCCACCCACAUUAGACCACAUCUUGAGUGAGAAACAAGUUCGUAUUUGUGUGAAGCCUCUGAGAUUUGGGGGACAUGUGUUACAAUAGUUAGCUGACCCUUACUGAUUUAAAUUGUCACA
Molecule: long non-coding RNA, 796 nt
Organism: Zalophus californianus (California sea lion)
Lineage: Eukaryota; Metazoa; Chordata; Mammalia; Carnivora; Otariidae
Exons: 3
Source: RefSeq, a predicted model, not a curated record